Rhodnius prolixus is the source of this 46-nucleotide non-coding RNA. Lineage: Eukaryota; Metazoa; Arthropoda; Insecta; Hemiptera; Reduviidae. The record is from Rfam.
UGAACGGCCCUUUUCAGGGCCACCCAACUGUACGGCUUGAUGUAUA